RNAcentral lists this ribosomal RNA (465 nucleotides) under Vreelandella stevensii. RNAcentral's name for it is "partial 16S ribosomal RNA". It matches the Rfam family "Bacterial small subunit ribosomal RNA", at positions 338 to 795 of the family's 1533-position model. Lineage: Bacteria; Pseudomonadati; Pseudomonadota; Gammaproteobacteria; Oceanospirillales; Halomonadaceae. The record is from RNAcentral.
CCUACGGGGGGCAGCAGUGGGGAAUAUUGGACAAUGGGCGAAAGCCUGAUCCAGCCAUGCCGCGUGUGUGAAGAAGGCCUUCGGGUUGUAAAGCACUUUCAGUGGGGAAGAAAGCCUUGGGGCUAAUACCCUCGAGGAAGGACAUCACCCACAGAAGAAGCACCGGCUAACUCCGUGCCAGCAGCCGCGGUAAUACGGAGGGUGCGAGCGUUAAUCGGAAUUACUGGGCGUAAAGCGCGCGUAGGCGGUCUGAUAAGCCGGUUGUGAAAGCCCCGGGCUCAACCUGGGAACGGCAUCCGGAACUGUCAGGCUAGAGUGCAGGAGAGGAAGGUAGAAUUCCCGGUGUAGCGGUGAAAUGCGUAGAGAUCGGGAGGAAUACCAGUGGCGAAGGCGGCCUUCUGGACUGACACUGACGCUGAGGUGCGAAAGCGUGGGUAGCAAACAGGAUUAGAUCCCCCAGUAGUC